Haliotis rubra (blacklip abalone) is the source of this 130-nucleotide long non-coding RNA. RefSeq lists it as uncharacterized. The record is from RefSeq and is a predicted model, not a curated record. Lineage: Eukaryota; Metazoa; Mollusca; Gastropoda; Lepetellida; Haliotidae. The transcript is spliced from 2 exons.
CAAACUCCGGCACCAGCGUAUGGAUCUUAUCCAGACAAAGGAUCAGUACAUAUUUCUACACGAUGCUUUGAUAGAGGCCCUUCCUUCGUCUGACAGACUGACAAGAAGAGACCUGUGAAUGCGAGGUCCU